Molecule: ribosomal RNA, 519 nt
Filed under: uncultured bacterium
Lineage: Bacteria
Description: bacterial SSU rRNA
Rfam family: Bacterial small subunit ribosomal RNA
Source: RNAcentral
AGGACGAACGCUGGCGGCGUGCCUAAUACAUGCAAGUCGAACGGUCUUUCUAUGGAAGCUUGCUCCACUGAGAAGAUAGUGGCGAACGGGUGAGUAACACGUGGGUAACCUGCCCAUAAGAGGGGGGAUAACAUCCGGAAACGGGUGCUAAUACCGCAUAGUUUUCUUGAUUGCAUGAUUGAGAAAGGAAAGACGGCCUUUGUGCUGUCGCUUAUGGAUGGACCCGCGGCGUAUUAGUUAGUUGGUGAGGUAACGGCUCACCAAGACGAUGAUACGUAGCCGACCUGAGAGGGUGAUCGGCCACAUUGGGACUGAGACACGGCCCAAACUCCUACGGGAGGCAGCAGUAGGGAAUCUUCCGCAAUGGACGAAAGUCUGACGGAGCAACGCCGCGUGAGUGAAAGAAGGUUUUCGGAUCGUAAAACUCUGUUGUCAGAGAAGAACAAGUUGGAGAGUAACUGCUCCAGCCUUGACGGUAUCUGACCAGAAAGCCACGGCUAACUACGUGCCAGCCGCCGC